AUAAAAUUCACUCCUGCCUGAAAUCCCCAACUUUCCCCCCUAAAAUCCCUAAUUUCCCACAAGAAAAAAAACCAAAAAGCUUCAACUCAUGGCCACAACGUUCCCUUUCUCAAGAUUUCCUUUUUAUUUCUCAUGGCCAUAUGGAUCAUAUUGUUAGUUUUUUCCUUUCUCUCUUUCUCUUUCUUGUGUUCCUGUUCUUCAUGUUCUCUUUCUCAAGAUGUUUACGUUUUUUUUUUCAAUGUGCUAUUUUCUUUAUGUUGAUUCCUACAAUACUUGUAUAUUAGGCUCUCGCCCCUUAUUUUUUGUGUAUUACUUUUGAAUACAUUCGUCAAUCAGAGCUUAAGCAUAAUUUAAUCGGCUUGGAUGGGGGGGCUUUGGGAUGUAGAAAGCGACAAUGAUGGCCAACAAGAAGGCUGCCUAUUGCGGGUUAUAUCCCAGUUUUAGUCAUUCUAUCUAAAAUGUUCUUUGCAGGUUAACUUAGACACGUGUUCAAAAGAUCAUGGGUGGGCACAAAGAGAUGUACGGUGAAGGGGCAUGCAGAGGAUUUUUUUCCAAAAAAACAGCCCAAGCUAAGGUCGUUUUCAACUCUUUUCAACCCUGGACAUAUGUGUUACUCCAAUCUUGAGUAUUGACAUACAAAACUGCAAUGUCUCAUCUAACAAAUUUGCCCUUGUAGUUCAAUUUUGCUUGUAUCAUCUCCUAAUUGCAUUUGCCCUUGUUCAUUUUCUAAGAUACCAGUUAGAUCGUGUUGUAAAAAUACCUUGUCUAUUGUGUGAGCAUGGGAAAGCUAUAUAAUAACAUAUCCAAUCAUUGCAGCCUUUUCUUAAUGUUGCAGCGUUUCCCUGUAGAGUCCAAAGGACGGCGUAAGAAGUUGCAAGAAGUAUAUAUUUACGUUAAUGCAGUUGUGGUUUUGAGUCCAACAAUUUGAUUGUUGCAUAUAAUGUUUUCUUUUCUGGCUUUACUAACCCUUUGUAUUUCUCUUGAGAAAGCUAUAAGCUUGUUUUAUUUGAUCUUUGCGAAACUUUAGUUGCAUAUAAUGUUUAUAGCAUUUUUGUUAAAAAAUGGAAGUAUUCAACUUGAACCCUUUAGCUGCUAGUUGGUUUAGAUCAUUUAUCUAAUUGAUCAAUCAUUGAUCAUUUGUCCAAACUUAUGUAAUUUGAGCUCUAUUGUUAUUUUUUUGUGUAGAUGUGCUUUAAUGCAUUUGACAAAGGUGCUGACCUUGAUGUUUUGAACCAUCCAAUUCUAAACUUAAUAUGUUACCUUUGGUGGAAAUAUUACCUUCAUCCUUAGUCCUUUUCAUUUUGAGGAAGUUGCCACCAAAACGAGGUAUUACCCAGUAUCAUCCUAUCCGCUGAAUGAUUGACAAAUUAUGAAGGAAUUAACGAUUUCAAAAACGGGUCAUCGUGCACCCUGCAAAAAAAGAGAGUAGAAAACAGCAAUAGGGGGAGUGGCAAAUUAUGAAGGAAUUAACGAUUUCAAUAAUGAAUGGAUAUUUGAUCCUCACUGUAUAUGUGCAGGGAUGAUGAAGAUGAUUCUGUUGCCAAGAUGAAGGCAGCUGAGGAAGCCUUGGAAGCAAAACAAAAAGUAACAAAUAGCUUGUCUGCUACCUGUUCUUUUUUUUAUCAUGUUUUAUAAUUUUGUAACAAAUUGUUCUUGUUUUAUACUGCAUGGCUGCACCAUGUAUUUCUCAACUAGUUUGAUAAAUUUUAUGUGUGGUGUUUAAUUUUUCGUUACUA
This is an RNA transcript of Gossypium raimondii (Peruvian cotton), 1736 nucleotides long. RefSeq lists it as uncharacterized. The transcript is spliced from 5 exons. NCBI's taxonomy places the organism in Eukaryota, Viridiplantae, Streptophyta, Magnoliopsida, Malvales, Malvaceae. The record is from RefSeq and is a predicted model, not a curated record.